This 73-nucleotide transfer RNA is filed under the name Podarcis lilfordi (Lilford's wall lizard). Its description in RNAcentral is "tRNA.Ile". The record is from RNAcentral. Lineage: Eukaryota; Metazoa; Chordata; Lepidosauria; Squamata; Lacertidae.
GCCUGGAUAGCUCAGUUGGUUUCAGCAUGGUGCUGAUAACGCCAAGUUUGCAGGUUAGAUCCCCGUGUGGGUA